RNAcentral lists this ribosomal RNA (315 nucleotides) under uncultured bacterium. RNAcentral describes it as "bacterial SSU rRNA". It matches the Rfam family "Bacterial small subunit ribosomal RNA", at positions 47 to 357 of the family's 1533-position model. The record is from RNAcentral.
CCUAACACAUGCAAGUCGAACGGUAACAGGAAGAAGCUUCGCUUCUUUGCUGACGAGUGGCGGACGGGUGAGUAAUGUCUGGGAAGCUGCCUGAUGGAGGGGGAUAACUACUGGAAACGGUAGCUAAUACCGCAUAAUGUCGCAAGACCAAAGAGGGGGACCUUCGGGCCUCUUGCCAUCGGAUGUGCCCAGAUGGGAUUAGCUUGUUGGUGGGGUAACGGCUCACCAAGGCGACGAUCCCUAGCUGGUCUGAGAGGAUGACCAGCCACACUGGAACUGAGACACGGUCCAGACUCCUACGGGAGGCAGCAGUGG